RNAcentral lists this ribosomal RNA (466 nucleotides) under uncultured bacterium. RNAcentral describes it as "partial 16S ribosomal RNA". It matches the Rfam family "Bacterial small subunit ribosomal RNA", at positions 28 to 522 of the family's 1533-position model. The record is from RNAcentral.
GAUGAAUGCUGGCGGCGUGCCUAACACAUGCAAGUCGAGCGGUAACAGGAGUAGUUUACUACUUGCUGACGAGCGGCGGACGGCUGAGUAACGCGUGGGAACGUGCCCCAAAGUGCGGAAUAACUGCCCGAAAGGGUAGCUAAUACCGCAUAUGAUCUUCGGAUUAAAGGAUUUAUCCGCUUUGGGAGCGGCCCGCGUACGAUUAGGUAGUUGGUAGGGUAAUGGCCUACCAAGCCGACGAUCGUUAACUGGUCUUAGAGGAUGAUCAGUCAGACUGGAACUGAGACACGGUCCAGACUCCUACGGGAGGCAGCAGUGUGGAAUCUUCCACAAUGGGCGAAAGCCUGAUGGAGCAACGCCGCGUGCAGGAUGAAGGCCUUCGGGUUGUAAACUGCUUUUAUAAGUGAAGAAUAUGACGGUAACUUAUGAAUAAGCACCGGCUAACUACGUGCCAGCAGCCGCGGUA